RNAcentral lists this ribosomal RNA (403 nucleotides) under bacterium. Its description in RNAcentral is "partial 16S ribosomal RNA". It matches the Rfam family "Bacterial small subunit ribosomal RNA", at positions 355 to 776 of the family's 1533-position model. The record is from RNAcentral. RNAcentral also lists the same sequence under 1 other name.
UGGGGAAUAUUGCACAAUGGGGGAAACCCUGAUGCAGCGACGCCGCGUGAACGAAGAAGGUAUUCGUAUCGUAAAGUUCUGUCCUAUGGGAAGAUAAUGACAGUACCAUAGAAGAAAGCUCCGGCUAAAUACGUGCCAGCAGCCGCGGUAAUACGUAUGGAGCGAGCGUUGUCCGGAAUUAUUGGGCGUAAAGGGUACGCAGGCGGUUUAAUAAGUCGAAUGUCAAAGAUCGGGGCUCAACCCCGUAAAGCAUUGGAAACUGAUAAACUUGAGUAGUGGAGAGGAAAGUGGAAUUCCUAGUGUAGUGGUGAAAUACGUAGAUAUUAGGAGGAAUACCAGUAGCGAAGGCGACUUUCUGGACACAAACUGACGCUGAGGUACGAAAGCGUGGGGAGCAAACAGG